CCUACGGGAGGCAGCAGUGAGGAAUAUUGGUCAAUGGACGAGAGUCUGAACCAGCCAAGUAGCGUGAAGGAUGACUGCCCUAUGGGUUGUAAACUUCUUUUAUAUGGGAAUAAACUGUUUCACGUGUGGGAUUUUGUAUGUACCAUAUGAAUAAGGACCGGCUAAUUCCGUGCCAGCAGCCGCGGUAAUACGGAGGAUCCGAGCGUUAUCCGGAUUUAUUGGGUUUAAAGGGAGCGUAGGUGGAUUGUUAAGCCGGUUGUGAAAGUUUGCGGCUCAACCGUAAAAUUGCAGUUGAAACUGGCAGUCUUGAGUACAGUAGAGGUGGGCGGAAUUCGUGGUGUAGCGGUGAAAUGCUUAGAUAUCACGAAGAACUCCGAUUGCGAAGGCAGUUCACUGGACUGCAACUGACACUGAGGCUCGAAAGUGUGGGUAUCAAACAGGAUUAGAUACCCUUGUAGUC
This 460-nucleotide ribosomal RNA is filed under the name uncultured bacterium. RNAcentral describes it as "partial 16S ribosomal RNA". It matches the Rfam family "Bacterial small subunit ribosomal RNA", at positions 338 to 795 of the family's 1533-position model. The record is from RNAcentral.